AAUAAAACCCAAAGGCGUAAUGAAAGUAAAAAAAGAUAAGUAAAGAUUGUAAAAAAAGGAAAAGUUAAUUUUUUUUCUUUUUUUUUUUUUCUUUUCUUUUACUACUUUUAAGGGAAGAUAAAAAUCUUAUUAUUUAUUAAUAAUUUUUUCUCUUGUAGGAAAGAUUAUUAUUUAUAAUUUAGAUUUUUCGUAUUCCCGGGGCGCUUGUUUCACGCUUUUGCGUGUCAAUGCGCACCUAGAGCGUACACGAUGAUACCCGAAAGAUGGUGAACUAUGCCUGGCCAGGACGAAGCCAGGGGAAACCCUGGUGGAGGUCCGCAGCGAUUCUGACGUGCAAAUCGAUCGUCGGAGCUGGGUAUAGGGGCGAAAGACCAAUCGAACCAUCUAGUAGCUGGUUCCCUCUGAAGUUUCCCUCAGGAUAGCUUGCGCUCGGUUGAGAAGAGUCUCAUCCGGUAGAGCGAAUGAUUAGAGGCAUUGGGGUCGAAACGACCUCAACCUAUUCUCAAACUCCAAAUAGAUGAGACCCCCGGCUUUCUUAAAA
Molecule: ribosomal RNA, 541 nt
Filed under: Salyavata sp. UCR ENT 00063047
Lineage: Eukaryota; Metazoa; Arthropoda; Insecta; Hemiptera; Reduviidae
Description: partial 28S ribosomal RNA
Rfam family: Eukaryotic large subunit ribosomal RNA
Source: RNAcentral